This 449-nucleotide ribosomal RNA is filed under the name uncultured bacterium. Its description in RNAcentral is "SSU rRNA". It matches the Rfam family "Bacterial small subunit ribosomal RNA", at positions 26 to 518 of the family's 1533-position model. The record is from RNAcentral.
AGAGCGAACGCUGGCGGCAGGCUUAACACAUGCAAGUCGAGCGGGCGUAGCAAUACGUCAGCGGCAGACGGGUGAGUAACGCGUGGGAACGUACCUUUUGGUUCGGAACAACACAGGGAAACUUGUGCUAAUACCGGAUAAGCCCUUACGGGGAAAGAUUUAUCGCCGAAAAGAUCGGCCCGCGUCUGAUUAGCUAGUUGGUGAGGUAACGGCUCACCAAGGCGACGAUCAGUAGCUGGUCUGAGAGGAUGAUCAGCCACAUUGGGACUGAGACACGGCCCAAACUCCUACGGGAGGCAGCAGUGGGGAAUAUUGGACAAUGGGCGAAAGCCUGAUCCAGCCAUGCCGCGUGAGUGAUGAAGGCCCUAGGGUUGUAAAGCUCUUUUGUGCGGGAAGAUAAUGACGGUACCGCAAGAAUAAGCCCGGACUAACUUCGCGCCAGCAGCCGC